CCUACGGGUGGCAGCAGUGGGGAAUAUUGGACAAUGGGGGGAACCCUGAUCCAGCGACGCCGCGUGAGUGAAGAAGUAUUUCGGUAUGUAAAGCUCUAUCAGCAGGGAAGAAAGAAAUGACGGUACCUGACUAAGAAGCACCGGCUAACUACGUGCCAGCAGCCGCGGUAAUACGUAGGGGGCAAGCGUUAGCCGGAUUUACUGGGUGUAAAGGGGGCGUAGACGGCGAUGCAAGUCUGAAGUGAAAGGCGGGGGCCCAACCUCCGGACUGCUUUGGAAACUGUAUGGCUGGAGUGCAGGAGAGGUAAGCGGAAUUCCUAGUGUAGCGGUGAAAUGCGUAGAUAUUAGGAGGAACACCAGUGGCGAAGGCGGCCUGCUGGGCUUUAACUGACGCUGAGGCUCGAAAGCGUGGGGAGCAAACAGGAUUAGAUACCCCUGUAGUC
Molecule: ribosomal RNA, 443 nt
Filed under: uncultured bacterium
Lineage: Bacteria
Description: partial 16S ribosomal RNA
Rfam family: Bacterial small subunit ribosomal RNA
Source: RNAcentral